This 26-nucleotide non-coding RNA is filed under the name Homo sapiens (human). The record is from RNAcentral. Lineage: Eukaryota; Metazoa; Chordata; Mammalia; Primates; Hominidae.
UACCAGUGUCCAGGAGCCCUGCUUGC